AACGUAGGAGACAAACGUUAUCCGGAGUUACUGGGCGUAAAGGGCGUGUAGGCGGUCGACUAAGUCUGGCGUGAAAGCUCGCGGCUAAACCGCGAGAGGUCGUUGGAUACUGGUUGACUAGAGGACGGUAGAGGCGUGUGGAAUUCCGGGUGUAGUGGUGAAAUGCGUAGAGAUCCAGAGGAACACCAGUGGCGAAGGCGACACGCUGGGCCGUACCUGACGCUAAAACGCGACAGCAUGGGGAGCGAACGGG
This 253-nucleotide ribosomal RNA is filed under the name uncultured bacterium. RNAcentral's name for it is "partial 16S ribosomal RNA". It matches the Rfam family "Bacterial small subunit ribosomal RNA", at positions 524 to 776 of the family's 1533-position model. The record is from RNAcentral.